RNAcentral lists this long non-coding RNA (259 nucleotides) under Setaria viridis. RNAcentral describes it as "long non-coding RNA (SVIR_LNC002792)". Lineage: Eukaryota; Viridiplantae; Streptophyta; Magnoliopsida; Poales; Poaceae. The record is from RNAcentral.
UUCUCUGAAAACGUCACGGAAAAUUCAUCAAAGAUUAACAGGUUUUUUAUAGUACCUCAAAGUAACUUGAAUAUUAGAUUCAAUUAACUUGAAUAUCAGAUUCAAUUAGGUGGUCAAGAUCGUCAUGUGACUUAAACACACUGACUAGAACUAUGGAUUGAUGUACGUAGUAUCACUGCCUAAGCUUAUAUUUUUAGGACUUAAUCUAUGUGCGUCACUGGCUUGGUUCAGAGAAUUGUGUUAGCUCGUCUAAGUUUUC